This 492-nucleotide ribosomal RNA is filed under the name uncultured bacterium. RNAcentral's name for it is "partial 16S ribosomal RNA". It matches the Rfam family "Bacterial small subunit ribosomal RNA", at positions 29 to 507 of the family's 1533-position model. The record is from RNAcentral.
AGUGAACGCUGGCGGUAGGCCUAACACAUGCAAGUCGAACGGCAGCACAGUAAGAGCUUGCUCUUACGGGUGGCGAGUGGCGGACGGGUGAGGAAUAUAUCGGAAUCUACUUUUUCGUGGGGGAUAACGUAGGGAAACUUACGCUAAUACCGCAUACGACCUACGGGUGAAAGCAGGGGAUCUUCGGACCUUGCGCGAUUGAAUGAGCCGAUGUCGGAUUAGCUGGUUGGCGGGGUAAAGGCCCACCAAGGCGACGAUCCGUAGCUGGUGUGAGAGGAUGGUCAGCCACAUGGGAACGGAGACACGGUCCAGACUCCUACGGGAGGCAGCAGUGGGGAAUAGUGGACAAUGGGCGCAAGCCUGAUCCAGCCAUACCGCGUGGGUGAAGAAGGCCUUCGGGUUGUAAAGCCCUUUUGUUGGGAAAGAAAAGCAGCAGGUUAAUACCCCGCUGUUCUGACGGUACCCAAAGAAUAAGCACCGGCUAACUUCGUG